RNAcentral lists this long non-coding RNA (8428 nucleotides) under Marmota monax (woodchuck). Lineage: Eukaryota; Metazoa; Chordata; Mammalia; Rodentia; Sciuridae. The record is from RNAcentral.
UCUGUACAGAGAUGGGCCCACAUGCAACCUGAAUCAAUGUUUAAAAGUACCAGACAUGAAUGUGGGAAGCCCUUCUCACAUGUGAUUGGGUACCUCCCUGAAUGGGUGUGAGGCGCUUCAGCCAGCUGUGUCAGAGCUUAUCCCCACCCUUUUUAGGUGCGAGAGCCCGUCCAUGUGGGGGUGUGACUGACCAUUGACCCUGAAACCAAUCACUGACCCUGACCUUGGAAUGCUGUCCCCCUCGACAUUCAUUGGAUGGAAUUUUCCCCUGAAUUUCUUGUUCCCCAAUAAAAGCCCACUCUCUGGCGUGCUCUUCCUCUCUCCUGCUGGUCUCUUGUGUAAACCUCCCUACCACAUCAGGUGGCUUGAAGCAGGAGCUGGGAAGGGCCGUCUCUGAGCUGGGCAAGAAAAAGGUAAAUUGAGUUUAUGUGUCUUUAUUUUGAUCUCACUAAUUAACUUCUAUGUUUAGAACCUCUAGUGUGAAGCUAACGUGCUGGUUGUGCAGGAGACAUGAACCCAUCAUAUUCUGCUUGGAAAGAGGAGCUCACUGUGUUAAGUCAGGACCUGCAGCAUGCACUCACUACCCAUCGCCCUCUCGGGAGCACCAGCCAUCUAAAUGCUGAGGACACUUCCAUGGUAGGAUUGGACUGACGCACCAUGUGGAGGUCGAUUCUUUUGGUCUUUGCUCUGUAAGCCUCUUUCCUCACCUCACCACAUCUGUGAUGAGAGCUCAUGAGGAAGUGAAGGCCUUGCUUUGCUAGUCCCUGUGGGCUCCAGGGUUUUGAUCCAGGCCUUUGCACCUAGCUCUGCAAUAUACAUACUGGUGCAAUUCUAGUGAAGGCAGAAAAAAGAUGACAGUUAGUGGGAGGAGAAUUUUAUUUCAAUUAUUAAAGAAAUCUGCUUAUCUUCAUUCAUUCAUCAAACUGGCAAACGUAUUGAGAAUGUGGUGCCCGUAACACUCUUGCUUCUUCAGUUUAUUAUACAGACUGUUUCCGCGUCCUCCCCAAGAAGGUGAGUUUUCAUCUGCUGAGCAUUUAAAAAUUGGCUCAGAGAAAAGCACAGGAGGGAAUAGCAGCCUUCCUCUGGCAGAGCUUGGCCUGUGUGGCCAGGGCAGCAGCAUCCUAGGGAGCUCUCUGCCUCUAAAGAGCAAAGCAUGCUUUUUUUUUUUUUUUUUUUAAUCGAAAUGCUUGAAGUUCUUUAGGCCAAGAAGUACUUUAGCUUAAGGUUUAAGGUAUGUACUCCACUUACUUCACUGUGUCUGAGGGAAAAAGGAGAAGACACCUGGAGGACCACUGUGGUGAGAAGGAAGGCCGCCUGGGGAUACUAGCUUCAAGGAAAAAGACGUGUCCUCUCACCAAGAGCCACCCACCCCACAAAGGACAAGCAGUGGUGAGGGCAGGAGUUUAGGAAAUUCCUGAGGCAGUGCUACCAAGUAAGAGCCACAAAGAGUGGAGGCAGGUCACAGGCAGGUCUCCUUAGUGGCUUCACACCUUGGCUUCCGGCCAUGAACUUGCUGCCUGGACCAGACAGGACCUUUUCCCUGCUGGGCUCAUGACAGCGAGUCUUUGGUCACUACCGAAGCCUCUAGGGAGUGUGGUGGGAGAGAGCUGUGAAGCCACAGUCCCCGCAGAGCCUUUCCCCAGAGGCCCCUGCUCCUGCAGGGCUGACAAGGGUCCCUGCAGCACCACCCAGCCAGGUCAGAGGACUCUCUCAGACCACUACAUAAUGGCCAGAUGGCAUCCACACAAACACCGGUUACCUGGUUUAAAAGCCAGGUAGGUUGUGUGUAUUGGCCAGGCCGCUGUGGGCAGUGUGGAAAUCAGUCUGUAAGUAGUUUUGUAAGCAUCUCCCUGCAAACCCUGGGAGGAAGGUCCUGUGAUGUUUUUAGGAAGCAAAUAUAAUACAAAUGUGAAUUCUUUUUUACUCAUUUAAAUAUGUAGAAUGGUAUUCUCUUUACUAGGGACUCCAAAGUGUUCAACCGGUAAUGGGUUUUGUUCAUUUUUGUUUUUGUCUUUUAGUUACAGAAUAUAACUAUUAGGGUAUGGUGGCCCUUGCCUAUCAUCCAAUGACUCAGGAGCCAAGGCAGGAGGAUGGCACAUUCCAGGCCAGCCUCAGCAACACAGUGAGACCCUGUCUCAUAUUAAAAAAAAAAGGGGGGGUGGGGGUUGGGGAUGAGGCUCAGUGGUACAGUCAGACCCUGCUGUCCACCCUCACCCUUCUCUCUGUGCAUCCUCCUUAAGCAGUCUCCUCAGUGCCCUGGGUUUUAUUGCUAUCCAAACGCCUAAAGAGGCACCUUUCAACUUUAGGGGCACCCCAUCUCCAGCGGCCUCCUGAGAAGCAUCCUCAAAUUCCACGCUGUGACUGAAGCCAGGUCUUUCUUCACUGUGCAGUUGAUACCCCAGGAUGCGAGUCAAGUGGCUUAACUAGCUCUCUCCUGCGCCUUCACGUGGCCAAGGCUGAUUCUGAAUCUGGAUGCCCUCAGACCUAAAUGUGGUACAGUGCCCUGGGGUCAGAACCCAGAACAGACAGAAAAACUAUUUACAGAAAUUUUAUAGGUUUAUUUGCUGCCCCCCCCCCCGCCCAUCCAAUCAAGCCUAACGCUUCCCAUGGUCUUAACUGUUUCAGCUUUGAAUUCUCCUAACAACAGGAUGUGGAAAUGUAAACUUGGUGCUGCGCAAGAGCUGCUUUUCCUCACUGUUCUGCCGGAGCCACCAGGCUCUGUCCUCCUCGCUCCAAGCACUCUCAUUGGCGUCCUCUCCCCCUUGCUCUGGCUGAUUUAUAGGGAACAAGGGGGCCCUGCCUUCCCAGCAGCAGACCCUGAGCCCUGGGCCCCACACCCCGCCCCCCUUCUCCCACCACAGGUCUUCUCCUGAGGUGGGACUGGAGCCCAGCCUCCCCCAGGAGCCAGCCAGUCACUUACCUUGGCCUCGGCCUCUGUGUGUCCCCAGCAGCCCUUCUCCACGGCUCACUCUUCACAUUUAGUCAUGCCUCGUUCACUCUCAGCUUUAAAAGAAAUUAUUUUUCUUUCCCAGUUGUUCUCAGCUCUGGCUUCUCAUUAAGACCACCUGGGAGAGUUUAAACAUGUUAUAGAGCCCACACUGUACCUCAUAACAGCUAAGUCACAAUUGCCAUGGGGAGGGACUAGGUGCCAAAAAAUUUUUCAUGCUCCCCAGGUGAUUCUAACUGCAGCCAGCAUUAAGAAACGAUGGUCUAAAUUAACCGUCCCUUUAGCUACCCCACCUGUCCUCCCUCAGGGUCAGACUUGACCGGCUGACUUCUUUCCCACUGCUCUGCCCCUCUGCCUCUGGAGUGCGCUGGCUCCUCAGCCCUCCAUGCCCCACCACCUCCCACUGCCUCAAAGUCCCAGAAGUUUUCAUUGGUAAGUCCCCCCCCCCACCUCCCACUGCCUCAACAUCCCAGAGGUUUUCAAUGGAAGUCCCCCUUUUAAGAUUACCUGAUCCCCUCCUCCCCCAGGGAUUGAACCCAGGGACACUUAAGCACUGAGCCAUAUCCCCAGCCCUAUUUUGUAUUUUAUUUAGAGACAGGGUCUUGCUGAGUUGCUCAGGGCCUCGCUAAGUUCCUGAGGCUGAUUUUGAACUCUGGAUCCUCCUGCUUCUGCCACCCCCGUCCCAGCCACUGGGAUUACAGGCAUGUGCCACCGCGCCUUGCUCAUUACCUGACUUGACUUGGCAGCACUGACCCUGCUGACCACCCUCACCCUUCUCUCUGUGCAUCCUCCUUAAGCAGUCUCCUCAGUGCUCUUGGUUUUAUGGCUAUCCAAAUGCCUAAAGAGGCACCUUUCAACUUUAGGGGCACCCCAUCUCCAGCGACCUCCUGAGCAGCACCCUCAAAUUCCACACUGUGACUAAAGCUAGGCCUUCCUUCGCUGUGCAGUUGAUACCCCAGGAUGUGAGUCAAGUGGCUUAACUAGCUCUCUCCUGCACCUUCACGUGGCCAAGGCGGAUUCUGAAUCUGGUUGCUCUCAGACCUAAAUGUGGUCUGAAAAUCUGAGCACUUUAAUUCUGUAAGGUAGACUGAAAUAAAUGGUCUUAAUGAAAAGUUCUGGUAAUACCUGUUACAAAUCUCUGUAUCUGUAGGUACCACGAGCAUACUAAAUAUCUGAAAAUGUGUUCGAACUUACUGCACAGUGCUUACCCUUAAACUCUACUUAUUUUCCCUUCCUAAAAAGAAUCAGGCAGCUGUUCAUCAAUUUAAGGAGGCCCACCCUUCAGCUCUCUGGUACCACAUCAGUCAGGAGCAACGUGGUCCGUAUGUGGUGGGAGACUUACAGAAAAAAAAAAAAACGAUCCUGGUGAUGAGACUGCUGGCUAAAAGUGUUUCCUUUCAGAUGUUUGUUUUCAAAAGGGGUCUUUUUUUUUUUCCCCAAAUUGAAGUUCUACAAGCAGUUUUUCUUGACUUUUACUAAACCACAGUUUCUGAAGUUCCAGUGACCAGUUCUGAGAGAGGCUGUUUUUUCCACAGGAUCUUUCUGUGGCUUUUAGGAGUUCUCAGGGCGAAUGGUCUGAGUACCAGUCCUGGCUCCUUUUCCUUUGGCCAUCUGCACAUUUUGCAUGCACAGGAGCUGUUGGCGUGUGUGUGUGCCCAACCCUUUGCAUCUGGAAGAGCAUGCUUUCCAAGGCAGGCCCAUUCAAGUUCUAAAGGAGAGGGUGAGCACUUGGAGGGGCUCCAGCCUCUCACUGCAGAUGGUGCUGCUGUGGCGGGGAGUGGGUGCCGUUCACAGCUCCUCAUUAGCUGGGUCUAUACCCCAUGGAACCCUUCCUGCUCUUAAAUGGACGACAUUGGCUCCGUGCAUUGAGUAUUCACGAGGAGCUUUCAUGUGGUACCAAGUGGUAAAUUCAUGAGGAAAACACAAAGCUAGUUUUAAUGAAUGCAAAAUAAUGUCUGCAUCCCUUUGCUUGCAACUUGAAGCAAAAAAUUACAUCUGAAGGCUAAAAGCAAUGCCAGUAUUUGAUAAUAAUGAAGAAUUAUCGUCAGGCUUUCUUACUUGCUGUGAAAGAGGGAACAAUAACAAUAGGCUGGUUACGAUCUUGGGGUGUCUCAAUCUUUUCCACUUAGCUCCACAAAAAGUCAACUGUCAAUGGGAAGUGAUGAUAUAUAUGGGUUACUGCCUGAGAAGGUUGCUAGAUGGAGAGGCAGUGUUUGAUCUAAGAAAGAAGAUUUCAAAGAGGCUGGAGUGGCUGGGGAGCAUUUGAAACGUUUCAUUUUGAAUUCAGGGUUUGGGUUUUAGUUUUGUUUUUGUUUUUGUACUAGGGACUGAACUCAGGGUCACUCAACCACUGAGCCACAUCCCCAGCCCUGUUUUGUAUUUUAUUUAGAGACAGGGUCUCACUGAGUUGCUCAGUGCCUCACCAUUGCUGAGACUAGUUUUGAACUCCUGAUCCUCCUGCCUCAGCCUCCUGAGCCACUGGGAUUACAGGUGUGCACCACUGCACGCGGCUUGAAUUCAGGUUUUUUAAACCCAAUUUUGUACCAAUGAAUCAAAGUUGCAAUAAAGGUUGGGAUCAAGAACAAACUCACAUCUGAGUAUGGUGGCACACGCCUGUAAUCCCAGCAGCUCAGGAGGCUAAGGCAGGAUGAUCUGGAGUUCAAAACCAGCUUCAUCAAUUUAGCAAGGCCCUAAGCAACUCAGUGAGACCCUGUCUCUAAAUAAAAUACAAAAAGGGCUGGGGAUGUGGGUUAGUGGCUGAGCGCCCCUGAGUUCAAUCCUCGGUACCAAAAAAAAGGAACAAACUCACCAGCGUCUGAUUUUGACCCUGAACUCCAGACACAGAGAAAUCGUGUUUGGGAACAGAGGCUGACAGCUCCGGCCAGGCCAGGAAACCAGGCGAAGGGGACAGAAUGACUUCUGAAAAUCCCAUCCCCUUAUCCCCCUCUCCUCAGUGCCUCGGCACGGCUUUUCUCACACAGCUGACACUCAUGUGUAUCUAUUAAGCAGAAAUGAUUGGCGGUCUAUGCAGCUGACAAAGAAUUCCCUGAAAGAGCCAAGAGAGACUCAGAGAGGCAAAGAGGAAGGAGAAGUAGCUGGCGUAACAGAUCCGAGGCGAUGGGCACAGCAGGCCUCCACCUCAGGUCAAGAGGUGAGAACCACAGUGACCCCGACCACUUGCAAGGAAAGGCAGAGUGUUUGGGUAGGGAACGUGAGCUACCAAGUCAUCCCCUUUCACCUGCGAGGGAGUGCCAGCUGGCAGGCCAUGGCGUGAUAGUACCCCCAAGUGUCUCUUGAGUCGUGAUGUUUGUCCACGUACUUCUGAAGCACUAUGUUGCCAUGACCACUACUCACACUGUGGGGAGAUGCCUUCAGAGGAAGCACAGGAAAAGUAGGAGACGGUUUGUGCAUUGUUAUAUAGAAAUUUGAGCUUUCAGACAAGCUGGUAGAAAAGGUAAUCAAAGGGUAGCUCUUCAUUUAAAAUGCAUUUCCCUUGAUAAACGUUUCUAAGAACCAUCUGCUAUUCAAAAAUGAAGGCUAAUGAAAAGUCUUAUUUCUAAGUCAUCCUAGGGGCUAUUAGAGAGUGAUUAGGAUAUGGAGUUGUGUUAGUCAGCUUUCUGUUGCUGUAACAGAAUACCUGAGAAAUUCAGCUUGAAGGAAGAAAGAUUUGUUUUUGGCUCAUGGUUUCAGAGGAUCCAGUCCAUGGUCAGGCAACUCUACUGCUCUGGGCCUGAAUGAGUCAGACUCUCAUGACUUUCCUCAGACAGAGCACAGGAAAGUUACUCAGCUCAUGGCAUCCAGGAAGCAGAGAGAGAGAAAAGUUUCAAGGGACAAAAUCUACCCUUCAAAGACAUACCCCCAGUGACCUACCUCUUCCAACCAGGCCCCAUCUCCUAAAUCUUCUACCACCUCCUUAAUAUUAGUGUCACCUGCUGUGGACCAACCCAUCAACACAUGCGCCUUUGGGGGAGAUUCCCAAUCCAAACUCUAACAAAAAGAUACCAGGAACUAAUAGAGGAGGUGAGAUUGCCCAGGGAGGGGUAUAGAGAAAAGAGCAGAGGGCCUGAGCGGACCAGGUGAACAUGGGUAUCUUGGAGCAGUGAAGAGUGAAGGGCCGUAAAGCAGGCAGGAGCAGCUAGAGAGGUCUGGAGGAGCUGGAGGAGAGACCACUCAGCAAUAGGGACACCAAGAGCAUUUUGAGGUAGGGAGUGAGUUUCAAUGUUAUGGUAAUGAACUUCAUUGAUUCACUCCAUUACAGUAUUUUCUUUAGCUAUUUAGCUCCUUAAAGCUUCAAAGAGUCCUGCACCCACAUUGAUAUUUCUGGGUGUAGCAAUCUACCCAGAGAUUGUAAACUCUGAAUAGUCUACCAUGCCCUGCACCCUAAAUCAAGGAUUGAAUCACAUGGGCUCCCAGCAGGCAGAGGUCUGAGCCAGGUGAUGCUGGAGGCCCUGCCUGGUCCAGGCCAGGCAGGGGUAUUCUCCCAAGCCCCUGCUCUGAGCUCUCCAGAGUACAGGUAUCUCCAUGUAGAAUUCGGUCCACCUUCCAGUAAUCUCAUUAUCUUAAGGCUCUUCCAAGACUUUUACAUCUUUUUAAAAGUAAAGAUUUUAAGGUACAGUGGUGCAUGCCUGUAAUCCCAGCAGCUCCAGAGGCUGAGACAAGAGGAUCUCGAAUUCAAAGCCAGCCUCAGCAAUGAGGAGAUGCUAAGCAACUCAGUGAGACCCUAUUUCUAAAUAAAAUACAAUAUAGGGCUGGGGUUGUGGUUCAGUGGCCAAGGACCUCUGGGUUCAAUCCCUGGUACUACCCCCCCCCCAAAAUAAAGAUUUUUUAGGAUUAUUUCUACCCUAAAAAUACUACCAUUAGAGAACACCUUAGUUACCAAAUAUAUAAGAAGUUGAAGAAAAUCAAUAACUGAGGUUUACUGGGGGUAAAACUGAGCUAGAGCCCAGGUGGAGAAGGGAAAAAGUACUUACACUGACUUGGAAUGAAAGCACAGAGUCAAUUCAGAAUGGAUAUAAUCAUUAUAUCAAGAUCCAGUCCCUAUAAAUGUUUUAAAGUGUCUCUUUUCUGCACUUCUUGCACACACUUAAAAUUUUACUUUUUCACAGCUCAGACUACUUUUUUUUCUGACUUUUUUUUUUUUGUACCAAGGAUUGAACCACUGAGCCACAUCCCCAGACCUUUUUUAUAUUUUAUUUUGAGAGGGUCUCGCUGAGUUGCUUAGGGCCUCGCUAAGUUGCUGAGGCUGCCUUUGAAACUGGGAUCCUUCUGUCUCAGCCUCCAGAACUGCUGCGAUUACAGGUGUGCACCACUGCACCCAGCUGACAACUUUUUAUAAAUGAUUUUAUAUGUCAGUUUUUUUCAUUGGCAUUGCAUAAUAAAAUCAGUUUUCCACUUCAUGAAAAUGUUUUCAUAAAGACUGUUGGUAGUGGUUGCGUUAUAUAAUGUAAUUAGAAAGGUCCCCGAGUUAAACAUUUGUAUUAA